This 30-nucleotide non-coding RNA is filed under the name Mus musculus (house mouse). Lineage: Eukaryota; Metazoa; Chordata; Mammalia; Rodentia; Muridae. The record is from RNAcentral.
UAAUCAGCAGUCAGGAAUUCCCACAAGGCA